GACGAACGCUGGCGGCGUGCUUAACACAUGCAAGUCGAACGGAAAGGCCCUGCUUUUGUGGGGUGCUCGAGUGGCGAACGGGUGAGUAACACGUGAGUAACCUGCCCUUGACUUUGGGAUAACUUCAGGAAACUGGGGCUAAUACCGGAUAGGAGCUCCUGCUGCAUGGUGGGGGUUGGAAAGUUUCGGCGGUUGGGGAUGGACUCGCGGCUUAUCAGCUUGUUGGUGGGGUAGUGGCUUACCAAGGCUUUGACGGGUAGCCGGCCUGAGAGGGUGACCGGCCACAUUGGGACUGAGAUACGGCCCAGACUCCUACGGGAGGCAGCAGUGGGGAAUAUUGCAGAAUGGGCGGAAGCCUGAUGCGGCAACGCCGCGUGCGGGAUGACGGCCUUCGGGUUGUAAACCGCUUUCGCCUGUGACGAAGCGUGAGUGACGGUAAUGGGUAAAGAAGCACCGGCUAACUACGUG
This 468-nucleotide ribosomal RNA is filed under the name uncultured bacterium. Its description in RNAcentral is "partial 16S ribosomal RNA". It matches the Rfam family "Bacterial small subunit ribosomal RNA", at positions 28 to 507 of the family's 1533-position model. The record is from RNAcentral.